RNAcentral lists this ribosomal RNA (301 nucleotides) under uncultured bacterium. RNAcentral describes it as "partial 16S ribosomal RNA". It matches the Rfam family "Bacterial small subunit ribosomal RNA", at positions 509 to 807 of the family's 1533-position model. The record is from RNAcentral.
CAGUAGCCGCGGUAAUACGUAGGUGGCAAGCGUUGUCCGGAAUUAUUGGGCGUAAGGCGCGCGCAGGUGGUUUAAUAAGUCUGAUGUGAAAGCCCACGGCUCAACCGUGGAGGGUCAUUGGAAACUGUUAAACUUGAGUGCAGGAGAGAAAAGUGGAAUUCCUAGUGUAGCGGUGAAAUGCGUAGAGAUUAGGAGGAACACCAGUGGCGAAGGCGGCUUUUUGGCCUGUAACUGACACUGAGGCGCGAAAGCGUGGGGAGCAAACAGGAUUAGAUACCCCAGUAGUCCCUGUCUCUUAUAC